RNAcentral lists this ribosomal RNA (253 nucleotides) under uncultured bacterium. RNAcentral describes it as "partial 16S ribosomal RNA". It matches the Rfam family "Bacterial small subunit ribosomal RNA", at positions 524 to 776 of the family's 1533-position model. The record is from RNAcentral.
UACGGGGGGGGUAAGCGUUGUUCGGAAUUACUGGGCGUAAAGGGCUCGUAGGCGGCCAACUAAGUCAGACGUGAAAUCCCUCAGCUUAACUGGGGAACUGCGUCUGAUACUGGAUGGCUUGGAUUUGGGAGAGGGAUGCGGAAUUCCAGGUGUAGCGGUGAAAUGCGUAGAUAUCGAGAGGAACACCUGCGGCGAAGGCGGGUUGCUGGGCUGAUACUGACGCUGAGGCGCGAAAGCCAGGGGAGCGAACGGG